AAACCACGUGCUGAUCGCAAAUCGCAAGGAUUUCAAACUUCAGUUAUUUCCAGUCGGUAAAUCAAUAGUUACCCCAGACGUAUUUCAAAUGAUGAUGUCAUAUAUUUGAGUGAAGGUCAAUUCAAAAUUGAGACAGGAAUUGUGACACAGAUGUUGUCACAAAGUGCCUGUGAUGUUGUAUGUUUGAUUUUGAUCAUUCAAUGAUACUUGGGAAACCCGAAGAAUGACAUUCAACAUAUCAAACAGAUAUCAUAAAGUCAUACUAAGUUACUAAAAAUGGUGACCUAGUCCAGUCUUGGACUAUUUCAUGCUUGAAACAGAAAGUUCAUGCAAAUGAAAGUUAACAUGUGGAAUGCAGCUGUUUUAAUAUGAUCCACUUGGUUAAAUGCCGUAAUGCAAACAGCUAUCUACCUGUGGUUCAGUGGUUUUUAAAUAAAUGGCAUUAAGGUGACAAGAGGGUUUGAACUAGAUUAAGGUAACAAUUUUUUCUUCUUUACUGGUAGUUCACAUGGCAAUAUUGAAAAUGAUGGUUUCGUCCGUUAUUCUUCUAUGUUUUUCUGCUAUGUUUUUCUGCUACAAUAUAUGCAUUUAUCGAUCAACGUCUUUUCCUUUUGUUUGUUGUCUUGUUUGGUGUUCCCCCUUGUGUGGUGUUUGUUGUCUUGUGUGGUGUCCCCCCCGGCCUAGCUGCUUGUUUUUUCUGUGCUUGUCUAUGUACUCAUUUUGUAGCAUUGCUUAUUUUAACUAAAGCUAUUCUUUGUUUAACUACAUCAGUAAUUUUGUUUGCUGUGAUACUGGCAGUACGUUUUUACCUAAAGGUAGGCGGCAUUGUAACGUAAUGCGGAGCAA
Long non-coding RNA from Dendronephthya gigantea, 846 nucleotides. RefSeq lists it as uncharacterized. Lineage: Eukaryota; Metazoa; Cnidaria; Anthozoa; Malacalcyonacea; Nephtheidae. The transcript has 4 exons. The record is from RefSeq and is a predicted model, not a curated record.